RNAcentral lists this ribosomal RNA (422 nucleotides) under uncultured archaeon. Its description in RNAcentral is "partial 16S ribosomal RNA". It matches the Rfam family "Archaeal small subunit ribosomal RNA", at positions 323 to 746 of the family's 1478-position model. The record is from RNAcentral.
CUACGGGAGGCUCCAGGCGAGAAAACUUUGCAAUGUGCGAAAGCACGACAAGGUUAAUCCGAGUGGUUUCUGCUAAAGGAACCUUUUGUCAGUCCUAGAAACACUGAUGAAUAAGGGGUGGGCAAGUUCUGGUGUCAGCCGCCGCGGUAAAACCAGCACCUCAAGUGGUCAGGAUGAUUAUUGGGCCUAAAGCAUCCGUAGCCGGCUCUGUAAGUUUUCGGUUAAAUCUGUACGCUCAACGUACAGGCUGCCGGGAAUACUGCAGAACUAGGGAGUGGGAGAGGUAGACGGUACUCGGUAGGAAGGGGUAAAAUCCUUUGAUCUAUUGAUGACCACCUGUGGCGAAGGCGGUCUACCAGAACACGUCCGACGGUGAGGGAUGAAAGCUGGGGGAGCAAACCGGAUUAGAUACCCCUGUAGUC